UUUAAGUGUAACCAUGAGUUUUCGUGCCUAACUUUGAGAGUCCGUUUUACUUCAAAUUCUUUUAUAAUUAGUAUUUUUGUUGUUAUAAGAUGAUAAAACAUGAAUAAUAUUUUAAUCGUGACUUAUGUUUUUUUUCAAAAAUAUUUUAAAUAAGACGAACGAUUAAAGUUGGGCAUGGAAAACUAUUUCUAUACUUAAA
Non-coding RNA from Oryza nivara, 199 nucleotides. The record is from Rfam. Lineage: Eukaryota; Viridiplantae; Streptophyta; Magnoliopsida; Poales; Poaceae.